This 253-nucleotide ribosomal RNA is filed under the name uncultured bacterium. Its description in RNAcentral is "partial 16S ribosomal RNA". It matches the Rfam family "Bacterial small subunit ribosomal RNA", at positions 524 to 776 of the family's 1533-position model. The record is from RNAcentral.
UACGGAGGGUGCAAGCGUUGUCCGGAAUCACUGGGCGUAAAGGGCGCGUAGGCGGCUCAUGAAGGCUGUGGUGAAAGUCCGGGGCUCAACCUCGGAUCGGCCGUGGCGACUCGUGGGCUGGAGCACUGUAGAGGCGGGUGGAAUUCCGGGUGUAGCGGUGGAAUACGUAGAGAUCCGGAAGAACACCAGUGGCGAAGGCGGCCCGCUGGGCAGUGGCUGACGCUGAGGCGCGACAGCGUGGGGAGCAAACAGG